GUUUGAUCCUGGCUCAGAUUGAACGCUGGCGGCAUGCCUUACACAUGCAAGUCGAACGGCAGCGCGGGGCAACCUGGCGGCGAGUGGCGAACGGGUGAGUAAUAUAUCGGAACGUACCCUGGAGUGGGGGAUAACGUAGCGAAAGUUACGCUAAUACCGCAUACGAUCUAAGGAUGAAAGUGGGGGACUCGCAAGAGCCUCAUGCUCCUGGAGCGGCCGAUAUCUGAUUAGCUAGUUGGUAGGGUAAAAGCCUACCAAGGCUUCGAUCAGUAGCUGGUCUGAGAGGACGACCAGCCACACUGGAACUGAGACACGGUCCAGACUCCUACGGGAGGCAGCAGUGGGGAAUUUUGGACAACGGGCGCAAGCCUGAUCCAGCAAUGCCGCGUGAGUGAAGAAGGCCUUCGGGUUGUAAAGCUCUUUUGUCAGGGAAGAAACGGUGAGAGCUAAUAUCUCUUGCUAAUGACGGUACCUGAAGAAUAGGCACCGGCUAACUACGUGCCAGCAGCCGCGGUAAUACGUAGGGUGCAAGCGUUAAUCGGAAUUACUGGGCGUAAAGCGUGCGCAGGCGGUUUUGUAAGUUUGUCGUGAAAGCCCCGGGCUCAACCUGGGAAUUGCAAUGAAGACUGCAAGGCUUGAAUCUGGCAGAGGGGGGUAGAAUUCCACGUGUAGCAGUGAAAUGCGUAGAGAUGUGGAGGAACACCGAUGGCGAAGGCAGCCCCCUGGGUCAAGAUUGACGCUCAUGCACGAAAGCGUGGGGAGCAAACAGGAUUAGAUACCCUGGUAGUCCACGCCCUAAACGAUGUCUACUAGUUGUCGGGCUUUAGUUAACUUGGUAACGCAGCUAACGCGUGAAGUAGACCGCCUGGGGAGUACGGUCGCAAGAUUAAAACUCAAAGGAAUUGACGG
RNAcentral lists this ribosomal RNA (909 nucleotides) under uncultured bacterium. Its description in RNAcentral is "bacterial SSU rRNA". It matches the Rfam family "Bacterial small subunit ribosomal RNA", at positions 11 to 916 of the family's 1533-position model. The record is from RNAcentral.